ACUUGACUGUGUACUUCCAUGUUUUCUGCCAAUAUGUAAUGAACAAACCCUCUGAGUGAUGGCUGAGUGAGAAGACAGGUAUUAUGCUUAAUAUGUACUGCAGAGAGAUGUGCAAACAACCAUACAACUGCUAACUACAUACGAAGAAGAGAGAAGCGUCUAGAAUUGACAGGGAACUCACCAUUAUGAUGGACUUAACAGCACCUGAGAGACUUUUGAUCUGAAGAGAAACAUAACUAUGUGCAUUUUAUUCUCAGUUGUGAUAUUAGCUCCCUAUCUUCAUGCAUUUCAUCAAUAAGGACUAUAUAAUAUUGAGAAGCAUAUUUGUGCUAUUUCUUUUUCUGAGAUAGAACACUCUGAAGCAGAUUAUGGAAGGAAAAUAUUUAUGUGGCUUACAAUUCCAUAUUAUAGUCAGUCAUUGCACAAACUUGGGGCAUGAAUUCAGACAGGAAUUGGAAGAUAGGAACCAAGGAGGCAUAUGGAAUGUUAGCUUUUCAUACAUUUAUGCUAAGCUAGCUUCCUUAUAAAAGAAAGAACCCCAUGUGAACGGAAUGAGUGAUGCUCUCCAAUAACCAUGACAAUUUGUCUGAACAACCUCAGAAAGCCAAUGACUCCAAUGAGACUCUUUGAGGUGAUUUUAGGCUGUGUCUGGUUAACAAUUAAUGCUAACUAGAAACGGGAGAAAAUAGUGUUUCCAUUUGUUCUUCAUCUCUUCAUCAAUGCCAAUAAAAGUGUUCCAAGAGGAAGGAUUUAGAAGUCAUUAGAUAUUCCAAUGGAGUUAAUAACGUGAUCAGGUCUACAAGCAUGUCAUUGGUUAAGUAUAAUUGUUUGUUUAUAGAACUAUAGAGCAAGGAUAAAGGAGGGAAGGGUAUAUUUAACAUCAGUGAAUUGCUGUAUGUAAGACCAAUGCAAAGAGUUGUUAACAAGUAGGUACAUAUGCCCCAAAGAGAUGAGAAUAGAGAAAACACUAAUCAAAGUUUGCUGUUGUGACUUAUCUUUGAUUUUUUUUAAACCAAAAUUUCCUUGUAAUGAUCAAUAUGGAUAGACACUUUAUGCAAUGUUUUAUAAAGUAAAG
Molecule: long non-coding RNA, 1075 nt
Organism: Mus caroli (Ryukyu mouse)
Lineage: Eukaryota; Metazoa; Chordata; Mammalia; Rodentia; Muridae
Source: RefSeq, a predicted model, not a curated record